CUACGGGAGGCAGCAGUGAGGAAUAUUGGUCAAUGGGCGCGAGUCUGAACCAGCCAUCCCGCGUGCAGGAUGACGGCCCUAUGGGUUGUAAACUGCUUUUCUAUGCCAAGAAACCCUGUUACGAGUAACAGGUUGCCGGUAGCAUAGGAAUAAGCAUCGGCUAACUCCGUGCCAGCAGCCGCGGUAAUACGGAGGAUGCAAGCGUUAUCCGGAUUCAUUGGGUUUAAAGGGUGCGCAGGUGGGCUUGUAAGUCAGUGGUGAAAUGCUGCCGCUUAACGGUAGAACUGCCAUUGAUACUGCGAGUCUUGAGUAUGGUUGAGGUAGGCGGAAUGUGUUGUGUAGCGGUGAAAUGCAUAGAUAUGACACAGAACGCCAAUUGCGAAGGCAGCUUACUAAGCCAUUACUGACGCUGAGGCACGAAAGCGUGGGGAGCGAACAGGAUUAGAUACCCCCGUAGUC
This 459-nucleotide ribosomal RNA is filed under the name uncultured bacterium. RNAcentral describes it as "partial 16S ribosomal RNA". It matches the Rfam family "Bacterial small subunit ribosomal RNA", at positions 339 to 795 of the family's 1533-position model. The record is from RNAcentral.